This 23-nucleotide non-coding RNA is filed under the name Cricetulus griseus (Chinese hamster). Lineage: Eukaryota; Metazoa; Chordata; Mammalia; Rodentia; Cricetidae. The record is from RNAcentral.
UCUUGACAGUGGGAUGACGAUAA